Molecule: unclassified non-coding RNA, 246 nt
Filed under: Borreliella afzelii
Lineage: Bacteria; Pseudomonadati; Spirochaetota; Spirochaetia; Spirochaetales; Borreliaceae
Description: partial 5S-23S ribosomal RNA intergenic spacer
Source: RNAcentral
CUGCGAGUUCGCGGGAGAGUAGGUUAUUGCCAGGGUUUUUAUUUUAUACUUUAAAUCUUGAAUUUAUUUUUUAAAUGUUUAUAUUAUUUGAAUAAAACAUUCAAAUAAUAUAAAAAAUAAUAUAUAUAUUGACAUGGAUUAAACAAAGAUAUAUAUUAUUCUAUGUUGUAUAAACAAAUUGGCAAAAUAGAGAUGGAAGAUAAAAAUAUGGUCAAAGUAAUAAGAGUCUAUGGUGAAUGCCUAGGA